CCUACGGGUGGCUGCAGUGGGGAAUAUUGGACAAUGGGGGGAACCCUGAUCCAGCCAUGCCGCGUGUGUGAAGAAGGCCCUCGGGUUGUAAAGCACUUUCAGUGAGGAAGAACGCCUGGUGGUUAAUACCCAUCAGGAAAGACAUCACUCACAGAAGAAGCACCGGCUAACUCCGUGCCAGCAGCCGCGGUAAUACGGAGGGUGCGAGCGUUAAUCGGAAUUACUGGGCGUAAAGCGCGCGUAGGUGGCUUGAUAAGCCGGUUGUGAAAGCCCCUGGCUCAACCUGGGAACGGCAUCCGGAACUGUCAAGCUAGAGUGCAGGAGAGGAAGGUAGAAUUCCCGGUGUAGCGGUGAAAUGCGUAGAGAUCGGGAGGAAUACCAGUGGCGAAGGCGGCCUUCUGGACUGACACUGACACUGAGGUGCGAAAGCGUGGGUAGCAAACAGGAUUAGAUACCCGUGUAGUC
This 465-nucleotide ribosomal RNA is filed under the name Vreelandella stevensii. RNAcentral's name for it is "partial 16S ribosomal RNA". It matches the Rfam family "Bacterial small subunit ribosomal RNA", at positions 338 to 795 of the family's 1533-position model. The record is from RNAcentral. Lineage: Bacteria; Pseudomonadati; Pseudomonadota; Gammaproteobacteria; Oceanospirillales; Halomonadaceae.